This is a small nucleolar RNA of Aotus nancymaae (Ma's night monkey), 132 nucleotides long. The record is from Ensembl. Lineage: Eukaryota; Metazoa; Chordata; Mammalia; Primates; Aotidae.
CUUCCCAUUUAUUUGCUGCUUGUAGUCUCACAGUGAUAUGAGCAAUUAUACAUGUGGGAUAAAAUAAUAUUGGGCCACUGUAAAUUGAGAUGAAGUAACCAUUUUCAUCUCUUCUGCAUGGACUAGACAUUG